This 163-nucleotide ribosomal RNA is filed under the name Marathrum plumosum. RNAcentral's name for it is "5.8S ribosomal RNA". It matches the Rfam family "5.8S ribosomal RNA". From Rfam's summary of the family: 5.8S ribosomal RNA (5.8S rRNA) is a component of the large subunit of the eukaryotic ribosome. It is transcribed by RNA polymerase I as part of the 45S precursor that also contains 18S and 28S rRNA. RNAcentral also lists the same sequence under 3 other names. The record is from RNAcentral. Lineage: Eukaryota; Viridiplantae; Streptophyta; Magnoliopsida; Malpighiales; Podostemaceae.
AAACGACUCUUGGCAACGGAUAUCUAGGCUCUUGCAUCGAUGAAGAACGUAGCGAAAUGCGAUACUUGGUGUGAAUUGCAGAAUCCCGUGAAUCAUCGAGUCUUUGAACGCAAGUUGCGCCCAAAGCCUUCGGGCCGAGGGCACGUCUGCCUGGGCGUCAUAA